GAAGGUGUGGAUUUUUGAUAUUUUAUGGCACACUGUCAGUACUCAGUGUUGUCUUACGUAUUGUGGGCUCAGUGUACUAAAGUGGUUAGUGUAUUGAGUGUUCGACACCUCUCAGUGGGGGAGGGAAUCCGACAUAUGAAGUGUGAGGUUGAGUGCCUAGGCCAAGGUAGCCCUUACAUGGAGAGUAAGUUGAGCUGGCUCUGGGAGGGAGUUAGCUUUGACUGCUCAGGAUUUACGUCGAAGGGGCAUAGGCAGUUCGGUGGAUUAGAUCAUGCCUUAGACUAUGUUUUGUGCCUGUGGAGGUACAAGUAGGUAUAAGGUUUACUUGCGAGUUAAAGAGUGCCAGGGGGCAUUCCGUUGGUCAUGAAAGGCCAUACCGGCCUAGGUCAUGCAUUCAUACAUUUUAAAUGGCUAAAUUAUAUACUAUGUUGAAUUUAUUAUUCAUUUAUUUGAUUAUGGCUUACUUUGUAAUAAUCAAUGUAGAUUUCUUUGUUACUGAGACUGUGGUUGUCUCAUCCCUUUCUUUUCAAUAUUAUAGGUCCAGGUGAAGGAUCCAGUGGUGGACGGGGAAAGGAGCAAAGCUAGGGGUUUGCUUGUGAUUUGAGGGGAGAAAGGUCCGUACGCUUGUGGCUGUACACCUUUCAGUUCUAAUAUGGCUCGAAGGGGAAGGGGUAGAUCGAGGAAUGAGGAACGACCACCACCUCUACCUCCUCUGCCUCCGCCUCUGCCUCCACCUCCACCUCCACCACCACCACAGGGGACGGAUGCAGUCAUGGCUAGGCUGCUUGAUGUUAUGGUAGAUAUAUAGCAAAAUCUUAGAAGUCAUACUGUUCCAGAUCAGCAUGUUGACCUAAGUGCUGGACAGGGAUCUUCUAGUACUAUGGGAGCUCAUGUAUCAGUUGCUAAUAAUCAAGAGGAUGACAUAUCCGAACCUUGGAAGGAAUUCUCUCGCUCUAAUUCGACCACAUAUGAUGGUAGUAUGCUUGAUAGGAAAGCUGAGGAGUGGUUGGAUCGGAUGGAGUAGUUAUUUACUGUUGUGAGGUGUACAUCUGAGCAGAGGGUUAUCUUGACUACGAUGCAGCUUGUUGGUGAAGCCAAGCAUUGGUGGGAUUUGUUAAGCCCACAUAUGGAAGAUCUAUGUCUUGGGCUGAAUUUAAAGAAAGAUUUUAUGAUUUUCACUUUCCACAAGCUUUUAGAGAUGAGAAAGAGGCAGAGUUUCAUGCAUUUCAGCAGGGGGACUUAGACGAGGAGACUUUUAUGAGAAAAUUCAAUCAGCUGUCUAAGUUCUCAACAUAUCUGAAGGCUUCUAAUGAUAGCAAGUGGAAAGCAAAGAGGUUAUUAGAAAAGAUGAGGCCAGAAUACCGCCAGCAGCUAUCUUUGUUGGGCGAGGCAAUAUAUGAUGAGAUGUGCAAUCGUCUGAGGAUUGCCGCUUACCGAGGCCGAGACACAGAGAGUAGCCAGAGCAGGGAUACACGAGGUCGAUUUUCUUUUGGGUUGGCUCCUACUGGUGGUGUAUCUAAGAGAAUGGGUUUUAGCUCUGGUUCUUCUUCUAGUGGCUCCUUUAGAACUGGGUCUUCUUCUACUUCUGGUAAUCAAAAUUUAAAUAGGGAUUCAAGAUUUCAAGGUAAUCGGGGUGGUAAUAUGAGAUCUGGGGGUUCUCGUUUCUCUGGGAAUGCUCCAGCACGUUCUUCACAGACUAGUCAAGCCCCAAUUCUAAGCACAGCGAGGUCACCUUGCAAUAGAUGUGGUAGGGUUCAUUUUGGUCACUGCUUUGCUUGCUACAAGUGUGGAAAGUUAGGCCAUUUGAUCCGUGACUGCCUUAAUUUACAUGAGAGCUCGGACCGGAGGAACGUGAUUCCUGGUAGAGUGUAUACAGUAUCUCAAGAGGAGGCUAGAAAGUCAUCGAAUCUAAUCACUGGUAUGGUUUCUAUCUGUGGCCUCGAUUUAGAAGCUUUGUUUGAUUGUGGUGUGAUGCAUUCUUUUAUUUCUGCCGAGCGCUUAAAUAGAAUGGCUAUGCCUGCUGACCAGUUGCCCCAUGAUAUAAAAGUUUCCUCUACUUCUGGUUUGGUUGGUCAAUCUAGUGUGGUGUGUAGGACUAAGAUGACUUUUAAUGGGCGAUCGACUUAGGUGAAUAUGAUCAAAUUACCUAUGCAAGGGAUUGAUUUAAUUAUUAGUAUGGAUUGGUUGACAGCUUAUGGUCCUGUCUUAAAUUGUGUGGCUAAGACAGUGACUUUGGUAGAAGUACCGCAGGUGAUCGAGGAAUACCCUAGUCAUUCUUGUUUUCUUUCUUCUUUGCAAGUUGAAAGGUUGAUUGAGCAGGGUUGUGAGGCUUACGUGGUAGUGCUCGCUACCCAAGGGUCUGAGACAGGUAUGGUGGAUGAAAUUGAGGUUGUUAGGGAGUUCCCAGAGGUGUUUUCUGAGGAUGUAUCAAGAUUACCUCCAGAACGUGAGGUUGAAUUCUCGAUUGACCUGGUACCAAGGACUCAGCCAAUUUCAAAGGCUCCCUAUAGAAUGGCUCCUUCAGAGUUAGUUGAGUUGAAGAAGCAACUUGAGGAGCUGUUAGAUAAGGGAUUUAUUAGACCUAGUGUUUCUCCUUGGGGAUCUCCUGUCUUAUUUGUGAAGAAGAAGGAUGGUAGUUUAAUAUUGUGUAUCGAUUACAGGUAGUUGAAUAAGGUUACGGUAAAGAACAAGUACCUACUGCCUCGCAUUGAUGAUCUCUUAGAUCAGUUGGUUGGUGCCACGAUUUUCUCUAAGAUUGAUUUACGUUCAGGGUACCAUUAGCUGAGGGUUAGUGAGAAGGAUGUGGCGAAGACUGCUUUCAGGACUCGGUAUGGUCAUUACAAGUUUUUGGUUAAGCCACUUGGGCUAACUAAUGCGCUUGCGGUUUGCAUGGACUAUAUGAACCGCAUUUUUCGACCUUUCUUGGAUCAGUUGUGGUAGUUUUUAUUGACGAUAUACUGAUCUGCUCUAAAAAUGAGGAACAGCAUGCCAGACACUCGAGGACUGUCCUAAGGUUUCUGCGAGAUCAUAAGCUAUAUGCCAAGCUCAGUAAGUGCGAGUUUUGGAUGAGAGAGGUUAGGUUCUUGGGACAUAUCAUGUCGGCAAAUGGUAUUGCAGUUGAUCCAUAUAAGGUUGAAGCAGUCAUGCAAUGGGAGAGACCAAAAUCGAUAACUGAGAUCCGUAGUUUUCUGAGAUUAGCAGGUUACUACCGACGUUUUAUCAAAGGUUUCUCUCAGAUUUUGAUGCCUUUGACUAAACUCAUAAGGAAGGAUAGGCCAUUUAUUUGGGAUGAUAAGUGCGAGACAGCUUUUCUUGAGUUGAAAGAAAGGUUAACAACAGCUCCAGUGUUGGUGAUUUCGGAUCCUCAAAAGCCCUAUGAUGUGUAUACUGAUGCCUCUCAUAAGGGUCUUGGUUGUGUUCUAAUGCAAGAUGAGAGACCAGUGGCAUAUGCAUCUAGACAACUUAGACCGCAUGAGGAGAAUUAUCCAACACAUGAUCUCGAGUUGGCUGUGGUGGUCUUUGUGUUAAAGAUCUGGCGUCAUUAUCUUUAUGGAACAGAGUUCAGGGUCAUGAGCGACCAUAAAAGUCUCAAGUACCUGGUGGAUCAAAAAGAGCUGAACAUAAGACAGAGAUGUUGGAUGGAGUUUCUUAAAGAUUAUAAUUUUGAAUUUAAGUAUCAUUCGGGGAAAGCAAAUGUGGUAGCAGAUGCUCUUAGUCACAAGACCUUACAUGUGGCCUAUUUAAUGGUUCGGGAGCAUAGAUUGAUGGAAUCUUUGGUUGAAACUUCUUUGGGUAUGACUAAGUUCUCUUUGAAUGGUCUUAAUACUAUGGUUAUUUCUAAUGAAUUUUGGAAAGAGAUACGAGAUGCUUAGCUUCAAGAUCCGAUUUUGUUAAAAAUAUGUUAAGACAUCGAGAAUGGUGAGAUAAUGGACUAUUGGUUUAGUGAUGAUGGGUAUGUGGUUUUCAAGGAUAGGGUAUGUAUUUCUAACAAUGAGUCUAUUCGGAAGAAAUUAUUGGAUGAGGCAUAUCGAAGUAGCUACACCCUUCAUCCUGGUGCUACUAAGAUGUAUCAUGACAUGCAGCAUCAUUGGUGGUGGCCAGGCAUGAAAAAGGAUGUCACAGAGUAUGUUAGUAAGUGUUUGACCUAUCAGAAGGUCAAGAUAGAGCACCAAAAGCCAUCGGGGUUAUUACAGCAGCCUUUAAAGAUUCCUAAAUGGAAAUGGGAGAGUAUUUCAAUGGAUUUUGUAUCUGGUUUGCCGAGGACCCAGGCUAGUUUUGACUCUAUCUGGGUAAUUGUAGAUUGUUUAACUAAGUCAGCACAUUUCUUACCGGUCAAGACCACCUAUACAGUUGAUAGGUAUGCUGAGAUCUAUAUUAAGGAGAUUGUGCGACUACAUGGGGUACCGAGGGAUAUUGUUUCAGACCGUGAUUCUCGAUUUACAUCAAAUUUAUGGCAAGCUAUGCAAAAGGCUAUGGGCAUGGAUCUGAAGUUUAGUACGUCUUAUCAUCCACAAACGGAUGGACAAACUGAGCGGACAAUCCAGACAUUAGAGGAUAUGUUGAGGUCAUGUGCCCUAGAGCUUCAGGGAAGCUGGGAUAAGCAUUUACCUCUGGCAGAGUUUGCUUAUAAUAACAGUUAUCAUGCCAGUAUUCAAAUGGCUCCUUAUGAAGCAUUGUAUGGAAGACGGUGCAGAUCGCCUCUUUGUUGGUAUGAGUUGAGUGAGAGGACAAUGAUGGGACCGGAUGUGGUAGAUGAGACCACAGAGAAAAUCAAAUUGAUCCAAUAAAAGCUUCUUACAGCACAAAGUAGACAGAAAAGUUAUGCAGAUAAUCGUCGUAAGGACUUGUCUUUUGAGGUUAGGGAUCAUGUCUUUCUUAAAGUUUCCCCAUUGACGGGCAUUGGAUGCUCAAUUCGGGCUAAAAAGUUAUCUCCUCGAUAUAUGGGUCCUUUUGAGGUUUUGAAGAAAGUUGGGCCGGUGGCAUAUCAGUUGGCAUUGCCGCCUCAAUUAGUGGGUCUACACAACGUGUUUCAUGUGUCACAGCUGAAGAAGUACCAGCCAGACCCAUCGUAUGUGAUAGAACCUGAAGAGGUUGAAAUUCAAGAUAAUUUAACCUACCGGACUGAACCAGAUCGUAUUGUAGAUGCUAAGAAUAAGCAACUCAGAAAUAAGACAAUCCGGUUGGUAAAAGUGAUUUGGAAAGGGACGGCUCUGAGAGAUGCAACUUGGGAGACCGAGGAUCAAAUGAGGAAGGAAUAUUCACAGUUGUUUCCCUAGAUCAGCUUUUAUAAGGGGAAAACAGAUGCAGAAAUGCAGAGAAAAUGAACAAAAAAAAAGAAACGCACAAACGGGAGAAAGAGAGAGAGGAAGAAGAGAAGAGAAAGGGAGGGAGUUAGGCUUGGAUCUAGGAGUCUUUGCGACCGUUGCGAGCUCAGCUACAUGAUAGGAAUUGUUGGUGGAAUUUGUUCAGAAAUUAAGGAACAAGCUGAGCUCUAUUUUAUACAAGGGGAACCCUUUUGGUACUAAAGGGUUGAGGUCCAGGUGAAGGAUCCAGUGGUGGACGGGGAAAGGAGCAAAGCUAGGGGUUUGCUUGUGAUUUGUAAAGAACUGCAACCCCUUUCUUUUGAGCAAAUAUAUUGUAAUGUAUUUAGGAUUAGGGUGCCAGUAGGAUAUGAUUAUGUAUGUGUGUGUGAAUAUGUGUGGAUUGUGUGCUUGUGUAUGAAUUUUUGUCUGUUUGCAGACUUGUGGCUAGGAAACUUGGUUAUGGUGUGUGGUUUUGAUGGAUUUACUUAAUAGACCAAGUUUCUAUUACAAGCAGAUAUUUAUU
RNA transcript from Prosopis cineraria, 5826 nucleotides. RefSeq lists it as uncharacterized. The transcript has 5 exons. The record is from RefSeq and is a predicted model, not a curated record. Lineage: Eukaryota; Viridiplantae; Streptophyta; Magnoliopsida; Fabales; Fabaceae.